RNAcentral lists this ribosomal RNA (1380 nucleotides) under Escherichia coli. Its description in RNAcentral is "partial 23S ribosomal RNA". It matches the Rfam family "Bacterial large subunit ribosomal RNA", at positions 418 to 1783 of the family's 2925-position model. The record is from RNAcentral. Lineage: Bacteria; Pseudomonadati; Pseudomonadota; Gammaproteobacteria; Enterobacterales; Enterobacteriaceae.
CGGGACACGUGGUAUCCUGUCUGAAUAUGGGGGGACCAUCCUCCAAGGCUAAAUACUCCUGACUGACCGAUAGUGAACCAGUACCGUGAGGGAAAGGCGAAAAGAACCCCGGCGAGGGGAGUGAAAAAGAACCUGAAACCGUGUACGUACAAGCAGUGGGAGCACGCUUAGGCGUGUGACUGCGUACCUUUUGUAUAAUGGGUCAGCGACUUAUAUUCUGUAGCAAGGUUAACCGAAUAGGGGAGCCGAAGGGAAACCGAGUCUUAACUGGGCGUUAAGUUGCAGGGUAUAGACCCGAAACCCGGUGAUCUAGCCAUGGGCAGGUUGAAGGUUGGGUAACACUAACUGGAGGACCGAACCGACUAAUGUUGAAAAAUUAGCGGAUGACUUGUGGCUGGGGGUGAAAGGCCAAUCAAACCGGGAGAUAGCUGGUUCUCCCCGAAAGCUAUUUAGGUAGCGCCUCGUGAAUUCAUCUCCGGGGGUAGAGCACUGUUUCGGCAAGGGGGUCAUCCCGACUUACCAACCCGAUGCAAACUGCGAAUACCGGAGAAUGUUAUCACGGGAGACACACGGCGGGUGCUAACGUCCGUCGUGAAGAGGGAAACAACCCAGACCGCCAGCUAAGGUCCCAAAGUCAUGGUUAAGUGGGAAACGAUGUGGGAAGGCCCAGACAGCCAGGAUGUUGGCUUAGAAGCAGCCAUCAUUUAAAGAAAGCGUAAUAGCUCACUGGUCGAGUCGGCCUGCGCGGAAGAUGUAACGGGGCUAAACCAUGCACCGAAGCUGCGGCAGCGACGCUGAUGCGUUGUUGGGUAGGGGAGCGUUCUGUAAGCCUGUGAAGGUGUGCUGUGAGGCAUGCUGGAGGUAUCAGAAGUGCGAAUGCUGACAUAAGUAACGAUAAAGCGGGUGAAAAGCCCGCUCGCCGGAAGACCAAGGGUUCCUGUCCAACGUUAAUCGGGGCAGGGUGAGUCGACCCCUAAGGCGAGGCCGAAAGGCGUAGUCGAUGGGAAACAGGUUAAUAUUCCUGUACUUGGUGUUACUGCGAAGGGGGGACGGAGAAGGCUAUGUUGGCCGGGCGACGGUUGUCCCGGUUUAAGCGUGUAGGCUGGUUUUCCAGGCAAAUCCGGAAAAUCAAGGCUGAGGCGUGAUGACGAGGCACUACGGUGCUGAAGCAACAAAUGCCCUGCUUCCAGGAAAAGCCUCUAAGCAUCAGGUAACAUCAAAUCGUACCCCAAACCGACACAGGUGGUCAGGUAGAGAAUACCAAGGCGCUUGAGAGAACUCGGGUGAAGGAACUAGGCAAAAUGGUGCCGUAACUUCGGGAGAAGGCACGCUGAUAUGUAGGUGAAGCGACUUGCUCGUGGAGCUGAAAUCAGUCGAAGA